RNAcentral lists this ribosomal RNA (253 nucleotides) under uncultured bacterium. RNAcentral's name for it is "partial 16S ribosomal RNA". It matches the Rfam family "Bacterial small subunit ribosomal RNA", at positions 524 to 776 of the family's 1533-position model. The record is from RNAcentral.
UACAGAGGUGCCAAGCGUUGUUCGGAUUUAUUGGGCGUAAAGCGCGUGUAGGCGGUCCGGUAAGUCCGCUGUGAAAGUCGGGGGCUCAACCCUCGAAUGCCGGUGGAUACUGUCGGGCUAGAGUGCGGAAGAGGCGAGUGGAAUUCCUGGUGUAGCGGUGAAAUGCGCAGAUAUCAGGAGGAACACCAAUUGCGAAGGCAGCUCGCUGGGACGUUACUGACGCUGAGACGCGAAAGCGUGGGGAGCAAACAGG